GACGAACGCUGGCGGCGUGCUUAACACAUGCAAGUGGAGCGACGAACCAGGGCUUGCCCUGGGGCAGAGCCGCGAACGGGUGAGUAACACGUGGGUAACGUGCCCCGAUGACUGGGACAACCCGGGGAAACCGGGCUAAUACCGGAUAUGCCCCCUCACGCGAGUGAGGUGUGUAAAGGAAGCUUCGGCCUCCGCAUCGGGAGUCGGCCCGCGGCGCAUUAGCUUGUUGGUGGGGUAACGGCCUACCAAGGCAACGAUGCGUAGCUGGUCUGAGAGGACGAUCAGCCACACUGGGACUGAGACACGG
Molecule: ribosomal RNA, 307 nt
Filed under: uncultured bacterium
Lineage: Bacteria
Description: bacterial SSU rRNA
Rfam family: Bacterial small subunit ribosomal RNA
Source: RNAcentral